GUGCACCAGUCGCGAAAACUCCGCAAUGCCCGAAAGGGUGACGGGGGGAUUCCAAGUGCCUACGCUUAGCGUAGGCUGUUCAGGUGCCUAAAAAGCACCUGGAGGAAGGGCUGGGUAAGACGGGUGCCAUCUGUGGCAGCAGCCAAGAUUUGGCUUGCUACUGCAAGGCAUAAGCCGCCGCGGUAAUACCCGCAGGCCCGAGUGGUAGUCGCUUUUAUUGGGCCUAAAGCGUCC
This 234-nucleotide ribosomal RNA is filed under the name uncultured microorganism. RNAcentral's name for it is "partial 16S ribosomal RNA". It matches the Rfam family "Archaeal small subunit ribosomal RNA", at positions 330 to 520 of the family's 1478-position model. The record is from RNAcentral.